AUGGGGAUAAAAAGCGGGAGGAGCAAGCAGGGGGAAACAGUGGAGACAGAUCCACGACACGCGCAAGUCUGCGGAUCGGGAGGGAAACCUGUGAUUAUGUCCGCAAACGGAUCAAACAACGACGUGGAUCAGAGAGGCCCGGCCGGGUUGUCGGACGGGGAAACCUUCAGGUCUCACGCCGACGCCGAUGUAGACAACGGUGAAUCCACGCAAGUGGACUACGACGGUACAGACCGGUGUGAGAAGAACAUCACAAACUCUGCCGACCCUCCGGAGCAGAGUAACGCCGUCCGUGAAAGAGCGCAGCGAGGGGGGGAAAUAAUAAUAAGACAACCAAGUUAUUGUUGUCGACGUACAUCAGAAAGAGAAGAAAUGCGGAAAGAGAUUAAAAGUGAAGAGGACAUCGUGACUAUACCGAGCCGGGUCACCGCUGUAGACAAUCCGUCAAAGGAGGAGCAAGAGAGAGUUGUAGCAUCCCGAGCUCUCCGUCCUAUCAUACGCAAUCCUCGUGGGCUGCAGGUCAUGAGACUCCAAGCAGGAAGAGGAGCCCAGCAACGAAGGAAUUUCCAUAAGAGGGAGGUCCUGCGAAUGCUCUCCAGCAUGUACUCCACAACCCUUUUGGCCUAUGUAUCAAUAGCAAAAAGCAGUAAUUUGUAA
RNAcentral lists this long non-coding RNA (657 nucleotides) under Oreochromis niloticus (Nile tilapia). RNAcentral's name for it is "lncRNA (ENSONIG00000024344.2)". The record is from RNAcentral. Lineage: Eukaryota; Metazoa; Chordata; Actinopteri; Cichliformes; Cichlidae.